Molecule: ribosomal RNA, 592 nt
Filed under: uncultured Bacteroidota bacterium
Lineage: Bacteria; Pseudomonadati; Bacteroidota
Description: bacterial SSU rRNA
Rfam family: Bacterial small subunit ribosomal RNA
Source: RNAcentral
CCUUCCCAUAACUCUGGGAUAGCCUUUCGGAAGAAAGAUUAAUACCGGAUGGUACUUUUUCAAGGCAUCUUGAGAAAGUUAAAGAUUUAUUGGUUAUGGAUGGGGAUGCGUUCCAUUAGAUAGUUGGUGAGGUAACGGCUCACCAAGUCUUCGAUGGAUAGGGGUUCUGAGAGGAAGGUCCCCCACAUUGGUACUGAGACACGGACCAAACUCCUACGGGAGGCAGCAGUGAGGAAUAUUGGUCAAUGGGCGAGAGCCUGAACCAGCCAAGUAGCGUGAAGGAUGAAGGUCCUAUGGAUUGUAAACUUCUUUUAUAGUAGAAUAAAGUGACCCACGUGUGGGUUUUUGUAUGUAUACUAUGAAUAAGGAUCGGCUAACUCCGUGCCAGCAGCCGCGGUAAUACGGAGGAUCCGAGCGUUAUCCGGAUUUAUUGGGUUUAAAGGGUGCGUAGGCGGAAUAAUAAGUCAGUUGUGAAAGUUUGCGGCUCAACCGUAAAAUUGCAGUUGAUACUGUUAUUCUUGAGUGUACAUAAGGUAGGCGGAAUUCGUGGUGUAGCGGUGAAAUGCUUAGAUAUCACGAAGAACUCCGAUUG